Long non-coding RNA from Octopus sinensis (East Asian common octopus), 89 nucleotides. RefSeq lists it as uncharacterized. The record is from RefSeq and is a predicted model, not a curated record. Lineage: Eukaryota; Metazoa; Mollusca; Cephalopoda; Octopoda; Octopodidae. The transcript has 3 exons.
AAACAACAACAACAAUAUCAAAAAAAAUAAUAAUGGCAGACCCUCAGCUUACUCAAGAAAUGAAGAUGCAUGCUGUUACUGUGGUUAUA